This 604-nucleotide long non-coding RNA is filed under the name Pocillopora damicornis (cauliflower coral). Its description in RNAcentral is "uncharacterized LOC113680622, transcript variant X2". Lineage: Eukaryota; Metazoa; Cnidaria; Anthozoa; Scleractinia; Pocilloporidae. The record is from RNAcentral.
CUUUAUCAAUAAUUCACAAAGUUGAAAUCAAGCGCUAUAAUUUUCACCAAAACCAGUCUUAGUUCAUAUCCGGAUACUUAAGUUGAUUGACGUGGAAGCGAUAUCUAGUUCAUAAUGAAGUUCCUUGCGUGCCUUACGUUAACAACACUGGUUUCUUUGAUUGUGGCUGUGCCAUUUCCAAGAGAAGACUUUACCAGAGAGCUUGGAAAAUCCGGUCAUUACGACAAAGCUGUUCCUCAUGAAGAGAAGAGAGCUCCUUUAUGUAGAAAUGCUGCAGGCGAAAUUUAUUGCCAGCUAGAAGUAUAUUACGAGGAUUCCUGCCUUUAUCAACCAGGAAUCAUGAAACAGAAUUGCAGAAGAAUGUGCGGAUUUUGCUAGGCCCGAUGCUGUCUGUAAAGAGUUGUCUAUUUCAUGUAUAUUGAAGCCUUUGUAGCAGUGAAACCAUACGAAAGUGGAACUCAGAAUGUGUUUCCAAAACUCGUUUUAAUAAUUGAGCUAAAUUAUCCGAAAUUCAAAUGCUCUUCUUUUUGUUCAUUAGUAAUGAACAGCGACAAAAUGUAAGUUUCAGACUCCGUUAAAUAAAAUGAACAAAAGAGAGAAAGUA